This 732-nucleotide ribosomal RNA is filed under the name uncultured bacterium. Its description in RNAcentral is "bacterial SSU rRNA". It matches the Rfam family "Bacterial small subunit ribosomal RNA", at positions 406 to 1138 of the family's 1533-position model. The record is from RNAcentral.
GNAAGAAGGCCUUAGGGUUGUAAAGCACUUUCAAUUGGAAGGAAAAACUCAUGGCCAAUACCCGUGAGCUUGACAUUACCUUUANAAGAAGCACCGGCUAACUCCGUGCCAGCAGCCGCGGUAAUACGGAGGGUGCAAGCGUUAAUCGGAAUUACUGGGCGUAAAGCGUGCGUAGGCGGCUCGCUAAGUCAGAUGUGAAAGCCCCGGGCUCAACCUGGGAACGGCAUUUGAAACUGGCAAGCUAGAGUUUAGGAGAGGAGAGUGGAAUUUCAGGUGUAGCGGUGAAAUGCGUAGAGAUCUGAAGGAACACCAGUGGCGAAGGCGACUCUCUGGCCUAAAACUGACGCUGAGGUACGAAAGCGUGGGUAGCAAACAGGAUUAGAUACCCUGGUAGUCCACGCCGUAGACGAUGUCAACUAGCCGUUGGCUCUCUUAGAGAGUUAGUGGCGCAGCUAACGCAUUAAGUUAACCGCCUGGGGAGUACGGCCGCAAGGUUAAAACUCAAAUGAAUUGACGGGGGCCCGCACAAGCGGUGGAGCAUGUGGUUUAACUCGAUGCAACGCGAAGAACCUUACCUACCCUUGACAUCCAGAGAAUCUGUUAGAGAUAGUAGAGUGCUUUCGGGACUCUGAGACCGGUGCUGCAUGGCUGUCCGCAGCUCCGUGUCGUGAGAUGUGGGGUAAGUCCCGUACGAGGGCAACCUUAUCCUUAGUGGCCGGGGUCAUGGGGGAC